UCCGUGUGUUAAUCCUGUGUU
Molecule: non-coding RNA, 21 nt
Filed under: Caenorhabditis elegans
Lineage: Eukaryota; Metazoa; Nematoda; Chromadorea; Rhabditida; Rhabditidae
Source: RNAcentral